GACAGAGGGGGCAAGCGUUGUCCGGAUUGACUGGGCGUACAGCGCGCGCAGGCGGCGUGGGGACGUGCCCUGUGACAGGCGGAGGCUCAACCUCCGACGGCCAGGGUAGACGCUCCGGCUAGAGGCAGGGAGAGGGCAGCUGGAAUACCCGGUGGAGCGGUGAAAUGCGUAGAGAUCGGUGGAACACCAGGGGCGAAGGCGGCGUGCCUGGCCCUGACCUGACGCUGAGGCGCGAGAGCGUGGGAGCAAACCACGG
This 256-nucleotide ribosomal RNA is filed under the name uncultured bacterium. Its description in RNAcentral is "partial 16S ribosomal RNA". It matches the Rfam family "Bacterial small subunit ribosomal RNA", at positions 524 to 778 of the family's 1533-position model. The record is from RNAcentral.